Molecule: long non-coding RNA, 43891 nt
Filed under: Populus trichocarpa (black cottonwood)
Lineage: Eukaryota; Viridiplantae; Streptophyta; Magnoliopsida; Malpighiales; Salicaceae
Description: long non-coding RNA (PTRI_LNC003402)
Source: RNAcentral
UGCUCAUGAAACUUGCACCUGGGUUCAUUUCUGGAGUGAAAGGGGCAACUUUCGGGUGCAUAGAGAGGGAGAGACAAGCCCUUCUCAAGUUUAAAGAAGACCUUAUUGAUGACUUUGGUCUUCUUUCAACCUGGGGAAGUGAAGAAGAGAAGAGGGAUUGCUGCAAAUGGAGGGGAGUUGGAUGCAACAAUCGAACUGGUCAUGUUACUCAUCUCGAUCUUCACUGGGAGAAAAGCGGCAAGUAUUUAACUGGUAAGAUCAGUAAUUCAUUACUGGAGUUGCAGUAUUUGAGUCACCUGAAUCUAAGUGGAAGCCAUUUUCAGUAUCCAAGUUUCGUGAAUACAAGGGGAAGCGAUUUUCCAGGGAGUCCUUUUGAAGGGAGUACUUUUCCAUAUUUCAUUGGAUCUCUAAAAAAACUAAGAUACCUUGAUCUCUCCUUUACCGGUGUUGUUGGAACUCAGCUUUGGAAUCUCUCAAGAUUACAGAAUAUUUUGACUUGAGUAGAAACAACCUCAGUCAAGCUACUGACUGGAUGGAAAUGGUUAACAAGGUCCCUUUUUUAAAAGUCUUACGGUUAAGUGGAUGUGAUCUUUCAAAUAGCAGUCUUCCCUCUCUUUCUUUUACGAAUUCUUCUAAAUCCCUAGCUGUCAUUGAUCUCUCUUACAACAAUAUUGCUUCUUCAACAUUCAAUUGGUUGUCCAAAUUUAGUAACAGCCUUGUUGAUCUUGAUGUUAGUUGGAAUUGGGUUGAUGUUAAUAGGAAUUGGGAUAACAGUUCUGAAAACCUUGAUUGGCUUUCCUAUCUUUCUUCAUUCUCCGGGUGAAAAUCAAGAUCAGUAACAUGACCAGUUCGAUUGUUGCAUCCAACUCCUUUCUAUUUGCAGCAAUCCCUCUUCUCUUCUACGCUCCCCAAGUUGAAAGAUUGGCGCCCAUUUACAUAUAGAAUUCCUUCUGCAUGGAAAUGGCAAAGUGCUAUUUUAAUGGGCCGUAGGCUGGCCAACCUGCAAUGGUUGAGCCGAGUCUAGCCCAAAUCUUUUUAAAAAAACAACAAAAAUCAAAUUUAUUAAGCCAAUCUCGGGCCAACCUUUUUUGGGGGUUGAAUUCAGCACUACAAGAAUGGGCUCCACCUAGUCAUCUAGGCCGCUUAGCCUACAUAUUUAAUAUUAUUUAAUUAUAAUAAUAUAAUAUUAUAUUUAUAAAAAAUAAAAACAAAUUCAAAAAAAAUUUCAAGGGGCAUUUUAAAAUAUUUUUUAUUUUCUCGCGUGUUUUUCUACCAAUUUUACUUAAUAUUGAGUUAUAUUUUUACAUUGUAAGAUACAAAUUUGAUAUUAAAAUACCUGAUUUUCUCCAAAAUCUCUCUAAAAAAUUCAAAAACAAAUAUCAAAACUUUUAAAUUAAUUUCCCUUUUAAAAAAAGAAAAAAAUAUUUUGUUUUCAUGCAUACGGCCAAAUCCUAAAAUUUUUUCAAGCAUAUUUUAAUGAAAAAACAAAAAUUGCAUCGUUCUUAUAUUUUAAAAUACAAAAUGAAUAUCGUAAUCAUUUUAUGAUUAUCCAUUAAGGUUUGACUAAAAUGUCAAAAACCCUUUACCAAUAAUUUUUUAUUAGGGUCUAGGUGUAAACUUUACUAUAUGUGGGGUGUAAAACUACAUAAUAGAGUAAACCCUCAUGUAUUAAAGAUACAAGGUGUGAAAUAAAUGCGAUACUAAAUUUUGAACUUUUGAACACUUAGAAUUAAACCUAACGAAGUAGAAACUAUUUCACAUAGAGAGAUUUGUCUUAGACUUUAGAAAAGACCAACGAAUAUAAACCCGACCUAAAAAAACAAUCAAACAACAAUGCUACUUACCUUAGAUAGGUGGGGUGAUGCGUCUUCUCCUUGCAUAACCAGUCCUUUACUCAGGCUAUUAUAAACCAUAGGUUCCUAAUAACCAUAAUACUAGGUGAUGACUCCUGAAUCUUAAUCAUAAUCUUAUGAGUAAACCUAAACCCAUUUCCUUUCCCAACACACACCUCUCAGGAGGCACGAAAAGCUCGUCAGCGGCAUCGACAUCGCACCUGCGACACAGUAUACUUGCAAAGGGUUGCUAGACCCAAACUGCUCUACGACACACAAUAUACUUGCACAGGGUUGCAAGACCCAAACUGCUAGGGUCUGGUAACCGUGCCAGAUCCAUGCUCCUAUUUUUAUAAAUAUAGAAAUUUACUUAUAAUUAUUCUAAAAAUAUACUUAUUUUGUAUUUUCAUCUGUCUUUUUAACCAAAAAUAUUUUUAUUUUUUCUAUAUUUCUUUCUUCUAUUUUGGGAUAUUAACCACACACAUCCCUAAAAUUCACUCAAUUUUUUUUAUUAAUCUCUAACUUUAGUGAAGAAAUCAUCUACAAAAUUACACAAAUUAAGAUAAUCCAAAGGACAGUAAGUCUUUUACAUAUACAAUGUUUUCUUUUUCUACAACAUAAUGUAUCAAUUCAAAAGUUCUCUUAUGAUCAUAUAUUUCAAAAUUUUGCAUAUAUUAAUAGUUAUAAUGUAGAAUAAACUCUCAUUGUAACAAGCUUUGACAAUUAAAUCAUGCAACAACAUCUCAAAUUUUAAAAAAAGCAUGAAUCUUUUAAAAAACCGUCCAACAUUUGGAUGGAAACAUAAAAUGAAUAUUUUACAUAUACAAUGUUUUCUUUUUCUACAACAUAAUGUAUCAAUUCAAAAGUUCAAAUGUUUUCUCUUAUGAUCAUAUAUUUCAAAAUUUUGCAUAUAUUAAUAGUUAUAAUAUAGAAUAAACUCUCAUUGUAACAAACUUUGACAAUUAAAUCAUGCAACAUCUCAAAUUUAAAAAAAAACAUGAAUUUUUUAAAAAACUGUCCAACAUUUGGAUGGAAACAUAAAAUGAAUAUUUUCAUCCACAAUGCAUACAAAAAAGAGAAGUUUAUUUUUGAAGACUUGAAAUAAAUCACUCUGAAAUCAACUUUUUUUUUUUUUGCAUUCUGUCCUCUUCGAAUAUAAAAAAUUUAUAAAAUAAGUUGCAAAAAAAAAAAGAGUUCGUAGUUAAGUUCUACUGCAUAUGAAUGAAAAUUCAUGGUUGAAUGAGGCAGUGCUUGAUUUUGCAGUCCAUUCAUGCUUUUGAAAUUUUUAAAAUUUUUUGACCUAUGCACAUGAGUCUGACAUUGUUGCUAGAUCCAGACGCGAGUCUGGCAACAAUGUUAGACCCAAACAUGGUUGCUAGACCCAAAUAUGGUUGCCAGACCAAGGCGCUUGGGCCUGACGUCUUUGUCAGACCCAAGGCGUUUGGGUCUAGAAUGGUUGAUAGACCCAAGACUCUUGAGUCUUGAAUGGUUGAUAAUGCUUCUGGCGUGGUUGCGGCAACCAAGCCAGACCCAAGAUGCUAAAGUGGUAGAGAAAAAGCAAUGAUUGAGAAGAAAAAAAAAGCAAAGAAACGUCUCACAAAAAGAUAAGAAAUUGAAAAUGAAACUACUAUUACAAUCCGCAGUAAAAAGUCUCUUAAUCUACAGUGAUUUCCCAGACCAUUUAGUUUUUGUUAUAAUUAAUUUUCCUAAAAGAUGCUAGAAGGUUUUUUUUUUUUUUUAAAUAAUGGUUUCUUAAUUAUUUUUAUUCUUGUUUAGUUUAGAAAAAUUUUCUUUUAUUUAUAGUAUUUUUAUUUUUUCCCAUUUAAUUAAAAAUUUUGUUCUUUCUUAUUUAAUUUAGUCAUAAGACUAGUAUAAAUAGCAUUGUUUAGUUUAUAUUUUAUAAGACUGCCUAAAAAGAAAAUAUUAAGUAAUAAAAUUUUAAAUUAGGAUUUUGAUGUGUUGAAUAGUCAUGGAUGAAAGAUAUAAUAGAAUAGGAUGUAAUCUUGUAGGGAGGGAGUAGAAUGUUCUCUCUCGAGGGAAAAGACGUUCAAGAAUUGAUGAUGGAAGACAUACAAAUUAAAGACAAGUUGCAAAAUGGACUAUCAGUUAGUGAUGAUAAAUUUAAUUACAGAGAUAAGUUAAAGAAUUAUAACAUCAACUAAACAGGAUAUAAAAAAAAAAAAAAAAAAGAUUGAAUGAUCAUGAGAAUAGUAAUCAUGAAUUCGUAAUUAAUUUUAAGAACUUGUUUUAAAAGCAUAAGUAGACGAGACAAUUUCUUAACAAAGAAGAUGCCUCAGCUUCUUAGUCCAAACCAUCGACAUCUAAGAAGAUCAGCACAUCCAUGUGAAGUGCAUGUCUUCCUGAAUGGAAAUUAAGAGCUCUUCAGGUAGUGGUAAUAGCUCAUACGUUUUCUCAUUCCUUUCUUUGACUGACGUUCUCUUCCAAGUCAACUUAUGUUUGUUUAACUCAUAAUCAUUUUGGUCUUUUUUUUUAAAUUCAUUUUGCACAUCAACUUGUGUUCUCAAAGAAAUUAGAGUCACCUUUGGUCUUUUUUUAAUUCAUUUUCCAUGGAAGCUGAAUAUAUUUCUUCAUUUUUCUUGCCCCACUUCGUUUCUUUUUAAUUGUCCUUGUGAUACGUUGUUUCCAACUGAAAAAUACUUUAAAUUGCUUUUAAAGCAGUCGUUGAUGUCUACAGUGCAACUCCACUUAACCCACACUUCUUCUCAUUCCUUUCUUUGGCGGACAUCCUCCUCUUCCACAUCAACUUGUGUUACGGGGGAGAGACAUUAGAGUCAUAUCGGUCUUUUUUAAUUCAUUUUCCAUUGAAGCUAAACCGAUUUCUUGAUUUUUCUUGCCCGGCUUUGUUCUUUUUGUAUAGCAGUCGUUAAUGUCUACAGUGCAACUCUCCACUUACUCACUUUUUCUCGUUCGUUUCUUUGGCGGACAUCCUCUUCCACAUCAACUUGUGUUACGGGGGAGAGACAUUAGAGUCAUAUCGGUCUUUUUUAAUUCAUUUUCCAUUGAAGCUAAACCGAUUUCUUGAUUUUUCUUGCCCGGCUUUGUUCUUUUUGUAUAGCAGUCGUUAAUGGCCACAGUGCAACUCCACUUACUCACCUUUUCUCGUUCCUUUCUUUGGCCGACAUCCUCUUCCAAUAACUCAUAGUCAUUUAAAAUGACUCAUUUUUGUCCUUUUUUUAAACUCAUUUUCUGUGGAAGCUGAAUCUAUUAAUUAGAUUUGUUUCUUUUUAAUUGCAUUUGUUGUGUCUGUUGUUUCCAACCGCGAAACACCUUAAAUUGCUUUCGUAGCGGUCAUUAACGGCUACAAUACAACUCAUCUUAAUUUAUUUGUUUUUAUGUUUUGAAAGUAUUUUAGAAAAAAAUUAAAUUAAAUUUUAUUUUUUAUUUUAAAUUAAUUGUUUUUAAUAUUUUUAAAUUAUUUUAAUAUAAUAAUGUUAAAAAUAAAAAAUAUAUUUUUGAAAACAACAAUACCACUUAAUCUCAAGUGGUGAUAUUCUUGGAUGUUGAUAGAAAUGACUACGAAGCUGAGGCAUUAUACAAGUUGAGGCAUCUUCUUAAUCACAAUGAUGACUUGAAAGUUUUUAAUCCUUAAUUUCUCUGCUUUGAUCAAUAUAUCUUAUUUUUUAUUUUAUUUUUCUGCUAUGAUGUUGAAAUUAUACCACUACUUGUAAUACACAAGAGAUAUACACAAAUAAUAGAGACAGAAGAGUGAGAAUUAAAAACAAAGUCAGAAUUUUCUUAUUGAUUUUCUCUCUUUCAAUUCCUUUGUGUUUAUUAGGGGUGAUCAUUUUCGGUUCGGUUCGGUUUUUAUCAAAAAAAGUAACCAAACCGAAAUUUUUUUUUUUGAAAAAAAAACCGAAACCGAACCGAAACCGGGUCAAACCGGCCGGUUUCGGUUCGGUUUUUUUAGGGCAAAAACCGGUUCAAACCGAUUUGGCUCGGUUUUUCCGGUUUUGGCUCGGUUUUUUCCGGUUUAGCUCGGUUUUUCCGGUUUGGCUCGGUUUUGGCUCGGUUUUUCCGGAUUGGCUUGGUUUGGCUCGGUUUUUUUUCCGGUUUUUUGUUGGUUUCGGUUCGGUUCGGUUUUUUGUUUAUAAAACCGAAACCGAACCGAACCGGCCGGUUUUUUCAAAAAAUUAAUCGGUUUAAUCGGUUUUUUUUUUCGGUUCGGUUUUUUCGGUUAAUUUUUUUCCGGUUUUCUCGGUUUAAUCGGUUUUCCGGUUUUUUUGCUCACCCCUAGUGUUUAUAUAAAAAUAUUAUUAAUUAUACUUCAAGUAUUAUAAAAUAAUAAAAAAUAAAAGACACUAUAUCCAUCGAUCGACCUUGACUUAUAUAAUUAAUGACUUAAUUUUAAAUUUUCUUACAAUGUCUAUAUGGAAGUUGUGAAGUGAAUGGAUCCCCUGUGUGUUUAAGAAGAUGCCACAUGAAAAAAAUAAUUUUAAUGGUUCAGAUGCCUUAUUUAUCUUAUUAGAUUCUCUAUGAGUUUCAUGCUACAGACCACGCUAGCCAUUAGAAUCUCUCAUCCAAAAAUAAUUAUACGUGUAGGUUUUUUAAUGUAUUUUUAUACAUAAUUUUUUUAAUAUUAAUAUAUUAAAAUAAUCUAAAAACAUAUAAAUAAAUAAAUAAAAUUCAAUUUCUUUCUGAAAUACUUUUACACCACAGAAACCCACGGAAAAGGAAUGAGAAAACGUGUGGGCUAUUGAUGACUUUGAGAAAGACUGAAGCUCUAAAUAAUUUCCUUUGAGGAAGGCUUGCAGUACUUCACAUGCAAGCUGAGGCAUCUUCUUAAACACACUGAAAACUUUUAAAAAAAAAAAAUUAUUUAAAAGUAUAGGGAACGGACACUUAGAGGAUAUUUAUCUAGUGAAAUAGAGAUUGUUUUUUAAAAUGUAUUUUUUUUAAUAUAUUAAAAUAAUAUUUUUUUAAAAGUAUUUUUAAUAUUAGUACAUCAAAAUUAUCUAAAAACAUUAAAGAAAAAUUAAUUUAAAAUGAAAAAAAAUUUAAAAUAUUUUAAAAAAAUAAAAAUAAAUAUAUGAAAAAAAAACUAUAGGGAAAAAUUAAUAGUGUUUUGCGGUUAAGGCUAUAUACCACAUAAUAAGAUAAAUAAGGUUUCUGAAUAAUUAAAAUUAUUUUUUUUACGUGGCAUUUUUUUAAAUACACUACUGACCUAAUAAAAGAGUGAGAAAACAAAUCUAACACUUUCAGUUUUAUAAAAUAAUAAUAAUAAUAAUAAAAGAAAUUAUAUCCAUCGACCUUGACUUAUACAAUUAAUGAUUUAAUUUUAAAUUUUCUUAUAGUGUUUUUGAUAUUAUAAAUAGGGAAGUUGUGAAGUGAAUGGAUUCAAAGUUAAAUACCCGCCAAAUUCUCAUUGCUCUCAAUUAUUACUUCCAUACCCAAUUCGAUAUUAUCUUUUUUUGUGAUCACGCUGCUGAUAAAGCACGACAAGUCGUUUCAUCAUCUUUAUGUGCUCGUUGUGCUUCUGUUGCUCAUGAAACUUGCACCUGGGUUCAUUUCUGGAGUGAAAGGGGCAACUUUCGGGUGCAUAGAGAGGGAGAGACAAGCCCUUCUCAAGUUUAAAGAAGACCUUAUUGAUAACUUUGGUCUUCUUUCAACAUGGGGAAGUGAAGAAGAGAAGAGGGAUUGCUGCAAAUGGAGAGGAGUUGGUUGCAACAAUCGCACUGGUCAUGUUACUCAUCUUGAUCUUCAUCGGGAGAAUGAAUAUUUAGCAGGUAAGAUCAGUAAUUCAUUACUGGAGUUGCAGCAUUUGAGUUACAUGAGUUUAAGAGGAAGCUAUUUUCGGUAUCCAAGUCUCGUGAAUCCUGGAAGCGAUUUUCAAGGGAGUUCGUUUGAAGGGAUUCCUUUUCCAUAUUUUAUUGGGUCUCUAGAAAGUCUAAGAUAUCUUGAUCUCUCUUCUAUGAAUAUUAUGGGUACUCUCUCAAAUCAGUUUUGGAAUCUCUCAAGAUUACAGUAUCUUAAUCUUAGUGAUAAUUAUAAUAUUAAUUUUAAAAGUCUUGACUUUCUCAAUAAUUUAUUUUUUCUUGAAUAUCUUGACAUAAGUAGAAACAAUCUCAAUCAAGCUAUUGAUUGGAUGGAAAUGGUUAACAAGGUCCCUUUUUUAAAAGUCUUACAGUUAAGUGGAUGUCAACUUUCAAAUAUCAAUCCUCCCUCUCUUUUUUUUAUGAAUUCUUCUAAAUUCCUAGCUGUCAUUGAUCUCUCUAAUAACUAUCUUGUUUCUUCAACAUUCAAUUGGUUAUCCAACUUUAGUAACAGCCUUGUUGAUCUGGAUGUUAGUGGGAAUUGGGAUAACAGUUCUAAAAACCUCGAUUGGCUUUCCUAUCUUUUUUCUUUAGAGCAUCUUGACCUGAGUCGCAAUAAGAACCUUAGUAUUGACUGGCUGCAAUUGCCUAACAGGCUCCCUCGCUUACAUGAAUUGUUGUUAAGUUCUUGUAGCCUUUCAAUUAUCGGUUCUCCAUCUCUUUCUCUUGUAAACUCCUCUAAAUCUCUGCUAUCGUUGAUUUCUCUUUCAACGAUCUUUCCUCUUCAAUAUUCUAUUGGUUGGCCAACUUCGGUAUCAGCCUUGUUGAUCUUGACCUCUCAUUUAACCAUUUACAAGGUUCAAUUCCAGAUGCUUUCACAAACAUGACUUCUCUUAGGACUCUUGAUCUAUCCUGUAACCAAUUACAGGGCUCAAAUCCAGAAGCUUUCGCAAACAUGAUUUCUCUUAGGACUCUUCAUCUAUCCUCUAACCAAUUACAAGGCGAUUUGAGUUCAUUUGGGCAGAUGUGCAGUUUAAAUAAACUGUAUAUAAGCGAAAACAGUCUCACUGGAGAGCUGUCUCGGUUGUUUCAAGACUUGCAUGGAUGCGUGGAGAACUCACUAGAGAUUCUACAACUAGACGAAAAUCAGCUUCAUGGUUCAGUGCCCGACAUCACAAGAUUCACUUCCAUGAGAGAGCUGGUUCUCUCUCGGAAUCAACUGAAUGGAUCUUUACCGAAACGAUUUAGUCAACGUUCUAAACUUGUUUUGUUGUACUUGGAUGACAACCAACUCACUGGAUCAGUUACGGAUGUUACGAUGCUUUCAUCAUUGAGAGAGUUGGUGAUUGCUAACAAUCGCUUAGAUGGGAAUGUUUCUGAAAGUAUUGGAGGCCUAUCUCAGCUCGAGAAAUUGGAUGCUGGAAGGAAUUCCCUACAAGGUGUGAUGUCUGAAGCUCACUUUUCAAAUCUCUCCAAAUUAACAGUAUUGGAUUUAACUGAUAAUUCCUUAGCUUUGAAAUUUGAGUCUAAUUGGGCUCCCACUUUUCAAUUAGAUGACAUAUUUCUUUCGUCUUGUAAUUUGGGUCCUCCUUUCCCUCAAUGGCUGCGAAAUCAAAAUAAUUUCAUAAAGCUAGAUAUCUCUGGUUCUGGAAUUUCAGAUACAAUCCCAAAUUGGUUUUGGAACUUGUCUAAUUCCAAGUUGCAACUCUUAAACCUUUCUCACAACAGGAUGUGUGGAAUUUUGCCAGAUUUCUCAUCAAAAUAUUCCAAUCUCCUACACAUAGAUUUGAGUUUCAACCAGUUUGAGGGUCGAUUACCACUUUUUUCAUCAGAUACCACAUCAACCUUGUUUCUCUCUAACAAUAAGUUUUCAGGUCCAGCUUCUUGUCCAUGUAAUAUUGGAAGUGGUAUCUUGAAGGUCCUUGACCUCUCAAAUAACCUGUUGAGGGGAUGGAUUCCUGAUUGUUUAAUGAAUUUCACAAGUCUAAGUGUUCUGAAUUUGGCUAGCAACAACUUUUCAGGUAAAAUUCUCAGCUCCAUUGGAUCAAUGGUCUAUCUUAAAACAUUGAGUUUGCAUAAUAAUAGCUUUGUUGGAGAAUUACCUUUGUCUUUGAGGAAUUGUAGUUCUCUAGCAUUUUUAGACCUGAGCUCAAAUAAGUUGCGAGGAGAAAUUCCAGGCUGGAUAGGAGAAAGCAUGCCAUCUCUGAAAGUCCUUUCCCUACGAUCUAAUGGAUUCAAUGGAAGCAUACUGCCAAAUCUUUGUCACCUAUCAAAUAUUCUGAUCUUGGACCUAUCUCUAAACAAUAUCACAGGAAUCAUUCCAAAGUGCCUUAAUAACCUCACUUCCAUGGUUCAAAAAACAGAGUCAGAAUAUUCCCUUGCGAAUAAUGCUGUUCUUAGUCCGUAUUUCACAUCAGAUAGCUAUGAUGCAUAUCAGAAUAAGAUGAGGGUUGGAUGGAAAGGAAGAGAGGAUGGUUACGAAAGCACACUAGGACUUUUGAGGAUCAUUAAUCUUGCAAGAAAUAAACUAAUUGGAGAAAUUCCAGAAGAGAUAACAGGACUCUUACUGUUGCUUGCACUGAAUUUAUCCGGAAAUACUUUGAGUGGAGAAAUCCCUCAAAAGAUUGGGCAGUUGAAACAGUUGGAAUCGCUUGAUUUGUCAGGAAACCAAUUAUCAGGAGUAAUUCCUAUCACAAUGGCUGAUCUAAAUUUUCUGGCUUUCUUGAACCUCUCCAACAAUCACUUGUCGGGGAGGAUUCCGUCAAGCACUCAGCUGCAAGGCUUUAAUGCUUCACAAUUUACCGGUAACCUUGCAUUGUGCGGGAAGCCACUCUUACAGAAAUGCCCUCGAGAUGAGACGAACCAAAGUCCACCUCCUAAUGAUGACAACCGAGGCAAAGAAGUCGUUGCUGAUGAAUUCAUGAAAUGGUUUUGUACUGCUAUGGGAAUUGGUUUUAGUGUAUUCUUUUGGGGAGUUUCAGGUGCUUUACUGCUAAAACUUUCCUGGAGACAUGCCUAUUUUGUUAGGAUAUUGCCAUUUGUGGCAAUACCCCACCACUAAGCAAGUGGAAGCAUGAAUUGUGCCACAAUUCAUGCCAUGCUUUAAGGCUUUGUUGGCCCCUCCAUGUUGACAAAUGUGUUGGAGGGGCUCACCAUAUUUGCCUAUAAAAGAGACAAUUAUUUGAGAGCAAAGUGAGAGGGUUGAAGUGAGAGAGAACGUGAGUGUGUGCAAGAGAGUGGAGAGAAAGAGAGAGCUGCAAUGGCUGCUGCCAUUGCAGCAGCUGCAAGAGCACCAAAGUUAGCUGAGAGUUGAGUUAGAGUGGAUGUAAUCCUCCUCCUCCAUGUAUCUCUAUAUCUAAUAAAAUGAACCUCUCCCGUGGAUGUAGGCGGUUUUGCCGAACCACGUAAAAAUAUUGUGUCAGUGUGCUUCCCCUCCGUUGAGCAACUAUCAGUACACCCCCGGUCCGCGCAUGGGGGAGCCGGAAUCCCCAACAAUUGGUAUCAGAGCUGAUGGUUUAAAGUGAUGUUUGAUUUUUGCUCAAAAAUGAAAGUUGUCAAAAUUGUGUUUUGACCAUACCACUGUGUAAAGGAGGAAGAGACGAAGCCACCGGUGAAAACGGCGUCAAAAUCGGACGUCGGACAUGGCCGCACUCUCCAUCACUCUCCGGCAAAGCGUCUGCCCACGGGCGCAGACGCGCCCCACGCGUCUUCUUCGCCCGGAUGGGCUGACCCGACCCGAAUACCAGUUGACCCGACCCACAUGGCUGACCCGGAUAUGAAUGACGUCAGCAUGACAUAAUUGUGAUGUCAGCAUGCACAGUAGGCAUGCCAGGGAUGACAUCAGCAUGAUGUAAUUUUGAUGUCAGCAUGCACAGUAGGCAUGCCAGGUCAUUAGACACGUCAUCGACCAGUCAGCAGACACGUCAGCAAAGUGGGACCCACCGGCCACAUCAUCAACCGCGAGUUGAGCCGAGCCGAGCCGCGAGCCGAGUGAUAAGAUUCUGUGCAGCGGAGUCUACGUGCAACCGGAUCUUAGAUUGAAUCUGGGCCGCUAAUCAGACCAGAAUUGUUUUGAUCAAAUCUUAGCCGUCUGAAGUGCGAUUUGGACGAUUUCAGACUUGUUUCCAGCUAAUUUGAUCGUUCCGGAUGCAAUGGUACGGUCCGAUCGUUGAGAUUUGAGACCGAAAGUGGUGGUGGUGAAUUAACAAAAGAGAUUGCCCGAUUAGGAGGCAUCUGAAGGUCAUCAUGGUUGUCGAUGGAGAUGAAGAAGAAGAAGGUGCACAUGUUUACCCAAUUACAUGUGUUGAACUGCUAAGUGGGUAGAAUUUUAACUGCCUUGAAGGAAGGCAAAAUUGGAACACUCUGGACACCCGAUCAUAUGGAUAAUUUGAGGUGAAGAGUGGAAAUUGAUGAAGACCAAUCUUGACGAAUCUAAGCUCUGGUAGUCUUGCCAGAUGUUGAGAACUGAUGUAUUAAACCAGUAUAUUGCAGAUCACUUGUAAAGGAAAGCCGCGACAAAGCUAGCAAAUGGUUGUAUAUACGGAAAGACAGUACGAUGGAUAGAUAUGGCCUGAGAAGUUCUGUCUAGGAGAUUGGGUUUUAAGCGGGACCAAUGUGACCCCUCCAAUCUUUCCUGGGAACUUGCUUAGUGGAAGGAUUAUCCAUACGGUACUAUUUUCAAAUAUAUAGCAGUUUGUAAUGAAACAGUUGAAGACUAGCAAGACGACGGCACAAGGGAACAGUUGGGUUCCGUAUGAUCAAGGCUCUGAUGAAGUGGUGAUUUCUCCAAAGAAGUUAGAUUCGGUGACUGUGAUUUCUCGAAGGGAGAAUUGAUGAAGACCCUGAUAAUGGAAGAGAAAUACAGCAAGGGGAUAAAGAUUGGCACCCUAUUUUGACUUGGACAGGUGUUAUGAUAGGAUGAGCUGCUGUCAAACAUAAGCAAAGAAUAGGGAGAAAUCUGGAGAACAGAAAUUGCACGAGGGCACACGGAGAUUGUGCAGGAGUACCCGUAGGAUCCAACGAGGUACUAUAAUGAGACAACAGGUGCAAGGAGAAGAAGUGUUCCCAGAUGAAGCUCAGAGCAGAGACUGUUAAAGUUUGUACAACAAGAAGUCUCUUAUGCUCUUGAUGAAGACAACAUGCGAAGACAUUUCCAAUGCAUGCAAGGAUGGAAAGAGAGCUGUUGCAGAGGCCCCUAAUUGAGGGGGUGCAAACGCCUGUGAUAAAAGGCGACCGCCUAUGAUGAAAGGCGAAGACACCAAAGAGAGUUGGUGUAGGUGGAGCUGUCAAGCAGAAAGACACAAAAGCUCCAAACAUAGAAAUCGAGGUGGAGGAUUGCGAGGAGUAUACCGCAACUUUCUCUUUCUAUGUAGUCAGUGGCAGUAAUCUCUCCCAUAGUGCACAUGGUGGUAGAGACUUUUGGAGCCACUUUGAAGCAUCUCAGCUGAAGGAGGAUGCGGCCACCUAUGAAAGGUGAAGACACCUUAGAUGGAAGGUGUGUGGGCCGUGAUAGAAGCCCCGAAUCAGACCGCCCCAUGACAACAGGCGAAGACACCUUAGAGAAGGUGUGAGGGCCAUGAUAGGAGCCCCAGUUCAGACCGCCACAUGACGAUGAGCGGAGAUACCUAAGGAGAAGGUGUGUGGGCCACGAUAUAAGCCCAGUUCAGAACAACCCCAAGCCAAUGUGAUGGCUGGAUAUGAGUGGACAGAUGGAUAGCCAAUGAAGUGGCUAUGAUGAGUAUGGAGACAAAUACAGGAUUGACUUUCAUGGAUAUUGCCCCCAUGCUAAAGAUCAAUGAGCUAGAAGACAUUUGCCUUGGACAAUAAGUGUGUGACUUGUGGAGCAUUAAGACGCGGCUGCUAUGACGGAGCAGAGGGCAUGCGCAGGUUCCGGGAACGAGUUGACUCUUGUCAAGGUGGUGAGCUCGGUAAUGGCAUUGUAAUACUCAGAGUAUGAAGACAUAUAUGGAUCAACCUUUAAUGGGCUACCCCCAUGGUUAAAGGUGGAGAGCUACCUGGACUCUUACGACUAAGAGCGAGAGACUCACGGAGAAGUAAGGCGUGGUUCCUAGGGUGGAACAGAGGGCAGGCGCAACUCCUGGAUGAGUAGACUCUUGGAAGAGUGGUGAGCUCGUGAUCACACUGAGAUACUCAGAUAAUGACUGUCGCACUUGGGAAUAUUCUGUUUGAGGGGGUGUUGUAAGCCUUGGUGUAAGGCUUGAAAAAUCAUUCCGGACCGAGCAUGGUUGAUACGCUCGAAGGGGGAUGUUGUGUUGAAGACGCUCUCAGAAUGGAAGCUUGGAAGAGCUGCAGAAUGCAAGCUUGUGCUAAAAAAGCAAGAUGACAAUUGCCCACACAAAUGGCAAAGGGGGUGAUUGUUAGGAUAUUGCCAUUUGUGGCAAUACCCCACCACUAAGCAAGUGGAAGCAUGAAUUGUGCCACAAUUCAUGCCAUGCUUUAAGGCUAUUGGCCCCUCCAUGUUGACCAUGAAAUGCCUAUAAAGGAGGCUUAUAUUUGAGAGAAAAAGAGAGAGAGAGAGAACGUGAGUGUGUGCAAGAGAGUGGAGAGAAAGAGAGCUGCAAUGGCAGCAGCUGCAAGUGCAGCAAGAGAGUUGAUGAGUUGAGUAGAGUGGAUGUAAUCCUCCUCCUCUACAUGUAUUUUUGUAUCCUUUCUCUAAUCUCUAAUAAUAUAGACUCUCUCCCGUGGAUGUAGGCGAUUUGCCGAACCACGUAAAAUAUUGUGUCUCAGUGUGCUUACCCUCCCUUGAGCAACUAUCAGUACACCACCGGUCCGCGCAUGGGGGAGCUGGAAUCCCCAACAUAUUUCCUGUUCUUGGAUGAAUCAUGGGACUGGCUCUAUGUGAAGGUAGCAGUGCGCAAGGCACGAAUUCAACGAGAAUUUCAGAGGCUGCAAGAGCACGUUCUUGCUUAGAAGGAUUGCAAGGUAAUAUGGUUAUUCACAUAUCUUUUCUUUUCUUUUUAUAUUGAAGACUAAUGGAGCAUAACAGGUCCGCUUUGUCCAAGGAGUCCGUAUUGUUAGUGCACGUGUUUGCUGGAGCUACAUCGUGCUUUACCUUGGCAACUUCAUCGUCGUCUACUACUACAAGUUUGAAAUAAGGUUCCAUUGGAGAACUCUUGGUACAGCUGCUGGUUUUAUGUGAAACUAUGAGAGUGAUUAUGUAAUAUAUUAUGGAAUCUCAAAAAAGGGUUCUUAUGUGAAUUUCAUUUGGAACGUUUUUGCAAAUAUUUAGUUCUUUACUUUACAGUGUGAAGAUGGAACAAAUUUAAUUAAAAACACAUGUAAUUUACAUUUUUAUUUAUCUGCUUUUGUUGAAUUAUUGGCAUUAAAUCAAGCAAUUAGCAGGUAUUGAAAUUGAUGUUAAUUCAAGCCUAUACAUGUAAUCACCGGAGGAAAUAAAAUUUCAGAGAAAUUUCUUCGACGAAUAGUUCAAAAGGUAUAAAUCUGUCAAUGGUGAUUGUUGAAAAGCAUGCCCACUCAUAUAAGAAAGGAAGGAGGCGAAAAAAUGGGGUUGCGACGCAGCCGUUGACGAGUUCCAUUGCUAUCUUACUUAAUGAGUCAAUGCUACAAAGCUAUUAAAAGAAUUUUUAAAGGGAUAAGUGAAUUCCUGUACAUUGUGAGAAGUCAUCAGAAGUCAUUCAAUACUGAACAUCAUCGAACACAAGUCGUUUAGCUGACUAAUUGCUUGAUUUUUUCAUGAAUGUAUAAGAAUCUCAAUCUGGAAAUCACAAAGAUUAUGAACUGGGAAAUGAGAUUUCCCUUAGAAUAUGUAAUUUUCUUGCUAAUUAGGCCCAGAAAAUCUAACUCAGAAAAUAUAUCUGUUAUUAUGUUGUUCUGUGCAUGGCAGUGUGAAAUUGGUCUCGCUGCAGAAUUAAUUUAAUUCAUAUUCCCAUGUAGGAUUGCAGCAAUCUAUCUAACGCAUUUAAAAUCGGCAGCAUGCAUGAUUAGUUAAGCAGACAACUAUGCAGAUAUUUUCGAAGACAUUUGUGAAAUGUCCUGAAAAUACAACUGUUCAUCAACUAGUAUUAACAUCUAAUUUCUUGUUUAAUCACCAAUCAGAGAAUAAAACAUCACGCCCUUCAAAUGCUUAUACACCCCAAAGUUUGCCACACCUUUCCACUAAUCAGAAACUUGCAAGUUUGAAUCUAUCCCACACCAUUCCUGCAAAUCUCCUACAUUCAGCAACUGCAUGACCUGAAUAAGAGUCCAAUUUCUAUCCAUGAAGAGCAGCAUAGGUUAAGGUAAGUCCGUAGAUAUUACUGAAAAGCACAACAUUUCAGCAACUCAAGUUUUCACUUUUCAAGACCUUAGUUAACAUCGCUAUAAGCAUCUUUACAAACACGAAAUAUUCACAUCUACAAGGCAAGACUGAUAUUCACCAAAUAUUAGCACUUCUCCAGAAAAUUUAGGUGUUGUCUGCAUCAUCAACAUAAAAAUUACAGUUGCUGAUGCUAUUUGGGAUUGUGAUAGCGAUGAUAAUUCGGUUCAAAAUACUUUUCGUUAAGAAAUAUAUAAAAAAAAUAAUAAUUUUUUUUUAUUUUUUAAAAAUCAUUUUGAAAAUAAAAAUAAUCAAUGUUGGUAUGGCCAUUGACUUUCUUAAAGUGAGUUCGUUAUUUCAUUGAAGAGAGAAAAGCCCAGGCUGGCCAUCAACAGACCAAAGGUUUCAUAAGGCCAUAAGGGUUGGGCGCAAUACCCCUUUUGUGUAGAAGAUGUGAUUACAAAAUAUAGAUAUUUUUUAUUUUAAUAUUUUUUUUAUGGAUAUCUAAUAUUAUUUUCAGUAAAAAUUUUAGGAAUAAAUGUUGUGAAGUUAAUAAAACCCUGAACCUCAUUACAAUAAGUCAUUCUCCGCAAUUCUUCGGGUGAAUCUCGAUACAUCCAUGACUUUUAUUGAACCUCUAUAAAAUUAUGAUGACAACAUGUAUUAAUUAACUAUAUUAGGUAUAUAAAUUUACAAAAAUAUUAGUUUACCUCGAGAUUAUCAACAAACUAAUUACAGUUUCUCAUAAAUAUUAAAUAUUAAUUAUCAAUUAUCAACAUUUAUACAAAUUUAUACAUAUAAAUUUAUAAAAAUUACAACUCCACAAUAACAUUAAUAAAAAUUAAAACAAAUCGUUAAACAAGCUAUUAAUUCCCAUGCAACAUCGAGUGAUAGAGAAGAUUUAAAGCAUUGUGAGUUACCCGACUUUACUUGGAGCCAUUUCCACCAUUUCCCCCACAAUGCUCCUUUAACACUUCCGAAACCUGCCUGCCUGUACCAGUAUUGGGGUUGGAUGUCUUUUCUGAAUUUUGAAGGGGCGUUGGUUUUUCUUGAUUAGCAAAAGCGCCAUCAGUUAUUUCACAAGUCACUUCAGAAACUUCAAUGAUUUUGUCUAUUAUAAGUACAUCUGCAUCUUCAGCUGCAUCCUGAUCCUUACAAACAGCAUCCCGGGUCCAAGUUAUACUGAGAACAGAUAAAUCAGCGAAUCAUAUUAUCUUAGACAAGAAGCAUGAGUAACAACAUACAUGCUAAGCUAGCAAAUAUGCAAGAAAAGAGUAGAAAGUUUGUCAGGAAAAGAUUUAUACCUAUUGUUAAUAGCAUCUUCAGAUAAAUUUGCACCGGCAAUUUCUUCUUGCCUCCUUUUCCUAUUGCUCUGACUUUUCCCUGGUUGAGAAUCAACAGAAUUAUCCACAGAUGAGUUGUCAACUCGUCUUUUCCUUCCAGCCUGUGCUGCUAGAUCAGAAAUUGGGUGCGUGAUCCUUUCAUUUGCAACUUCCACGAUAUCAUAAUCAGCAGCACGUGCUUCCUUUGUAAUAUUGCCUUCAGGAGGCACUCCAGGCAUCACCUUUGGCUCACCAUAAGCAUAUCUAAUAGGCUGGCUUUUGUCAAAAAAUUCUACUGACAUAAACUUUUGCCCACAGUAUCCAUUCGAGGUAUCCAAUGUUCCAGCUUCUAAGAGCCGCGAUCCAUUCAAGCACCAACAAUUUAUUCCGAAAACAACAAACAAUAACACUGACACUUCCAGGAACAAACAUUCAUAAACAACCAUCUCAAAAAUUCUAAACUUUCUUCCUCACAGUUCAAGAUCUAAAGGACCCAGUAGAACAAAAUCAAAAACUAAAAAAAAAUUCUUUGCUUAAACCUCGUUUGGGCAACUAGAAAAUGAAGAAAAAAGAGAGAAUGCGAGGGUCAAAGCUUGCAAAUUGAGUUUUCUGAGACUUGUGCAUGAUUAAGAACAAUGAUAUUUGGCCUGGGCUAAUAUGCUUGUGGUUGAGCAUUGUAGAGUGCUAUUAAUAUCCUUAUGUUACUUGGCCUUGGCUAAUAUGCUUGUGGUUGAGCAUUUUAGCAUGAAAAGCCUGUUCAUUGCAUAUCUGCUGUUGUGUUUGUCCUGAUUUACAAGAUAAGGAAAGCGAUUACAGCUGGAUUUUUUUUCCAUGCAGCUAGAAAGGACCCACAGGAGGGUUAUCGGACUUUGGUUUAGAACCAGCCAGUUUAUAUCCACCCCAGCAGUGCUCUUUUCCAGAGAACCAGACUGGGUCAUCUACCAUGAGCUGGUAAUGACUACAAAAGAGUAUGCGUGAGGUCACGGUUAUAGAUCCCAAAUGGCUUGUGGAACUAGCUCCCAGGUUCUUUAAAGUAUCAGAUCCUACAAAAAUGAGCAAGCGAAAGCGUCACGAACGCAUUGAACCUCUCUACGAUAGAUACCACGAACCUAAUUCAUGCCGUUUGAGUAAAAGGCGAGCUUAAUGUGUUUUGAGUUGUUUAUAUCAACUAGUUUUUAAUCUUAAUUCAUUUUUUCUUGCUAUAAACAUGUAGUUGUACAUACUCUCUGUCUUGAAAGUAGAUAAUGUUUUGAAGAGAUCCGGAAACAUUUAUAUCCCUGAAAAUAACAAGUGAGGUCUUCUUGACAUAGAUAUGGCUGUCACUUGUGCAGCCAUUAACAGUUAUUAGGAUCAAUCUAAGAUUGAUUGUGGAAAGUAACUAGUUUAUUAGGUAAAAUCACUUGGAUUCUUUUUUUUUUUUUCCUUUUCGUCUCAAAGAAAGCUCCAGUCCGAGACCGUUUGAGGCUGAGGGAAAGGUACACAUCCUAGUGCUGAGUCAAGAAUUUGGUGUCUGGAGGGCAUUAUACCAAUGGAUAACCAAUGAAAGAUGUAUCUGGCAAGUUGAAAGCACUGUUCUGAGUCCGAAGCCGUUCAUAUGAAGCAAAAAACUUAAACGUUUUCCUCCUUACUAUAUGUGCUGAAAUGUUUAUAUAUCUGCUUAAACUACACGGUUAGGCUAGCAAUUUAAGUGUUUCGCAGAUGGGAACAACAAAUGCAACUAAAAAGAAAUUAACAAAGUGGAACAAGGAACAAUCCAAGAAAUAGAUUCAGCUUCCAUAGAAAAUGAAAUAAAAAAAGACAGAGAUGGCUAUAAUGUCUCCACCAAGACCCAGACCAUAAGUUGACGCGGCAGAGAAUGUCUAUCAAAUAAAGGAAUGGGAAAACGUGUGGGCUAUUGACGACAUUGACCAAGACGACUUGAAGCUCUUCAUAAUUUCCAUUCAGGAAGACUUUUUUCAAACACACUGAUGUCUAUCAAAAGGGCACGCACAAGUAAAUGUCGAAAGAAAUUUAGAGAAACAGUAAAUGGUUAGUAUAUUAUCAUGGGGUUGUGGUUGGGGUUCGACCAAAUUAUUUAUAAUUUAUAAACUAAAUAAAAAAUAAUUAUACAUGCAGUUUUUCAACGUAUCUUUCCAUAAAAAAUGUUUCUAAGUGUAAAUUGAAAAGUUGAUAAAUACAUUUAAUUAAAUAAAUUUAAAAUUAUAUAUAUUAAUAAAUAAUAAAAAAAUAUUAUUAAUAUUUAAAAAUAAAACUAGAAAAAUUGAAGGCUAGAUACAAAUCAAAACAUUUAAUCUUGCAAGACAAUAUGUUUAUGCAGUUAUGUUUACUUCAUUUAUUUAUUAAAAAUAUUUUUUUAUUAAAUCAAAUGAUAUUCAAAACAAGCACACAUAUUAGAUUGAUUAAAUAAAAUAAAAGUAAAAAAACACUAUACAAGACUACAUGUAUUAGAAAUAUUUACGGAAAAUAAACAUUUUUAAUUUUGAAAUUAAAGUUCUUUAGUACAAAAGAUUAAAAAAAAAUUAUACAUUAAUCAAAAUAAUCUUUUUAAAAAUUAAAUACACACAAUACAUUUAAAAAAUAAUCUCUAAAAAAAUUUUAAAUAUGAAAAAAAAAAUCACAAAUGAGGAAUAUUAAUUAAAACAUAAAUUUAAAAAUUAUUUUUUAAAAACAUUAUUAAAAAAAGAUACCAAUAAAAAAAAGCAAUUAAAAAAAAUAAUAGCUUCAGUGUUGUGGCUUAACUCAUCAAACAUGUCAGUCAACCAUGAACUUAACCGGGUUUAAUAAGUUUUUCCUCUUCAAUUUAUAUCCAACUUUUUUAUUAAAAAAAAAACUAGGAGGGCCAAGAGCCCAGGCGAGUUGUAAUGAAGAGCCCAAGAGUGUUGAUGAACCUAGGCUUAUUUUAAUUUCUUGAAGGUCCUUCCCAAUUUUUUGAAAAAGAAAACAACGAGCAACAUGUCAGAUAAUGUGUCGUCUACAAACCUGGAUUUCAACCACCAUUAUGGUGGUCGAAAAAUUAGGGCAUAGAUAUUUUUUUCACAAUACCCAUUUUUUUAGCCAUUUACACUCAAAAACACCUAACCAACACCCUUAUAACAUCUAAAAACUACUCUAUCAACUCUAAAUAUCCAAAAAAUAGCCUAAAACCCGAAAGCAAAUUGGUUUAGCUAUGGUUUUGCUGGCUUAGAUCUAGUUUUUCAUGCAAUAUUAAAACUCCAAACAACCACCAUGAAGUCCCUCGUAUCUUAAGAAACUCGUGUGUCGUGACAUGCACGAUGUCAAAUGACGGAUUUACUACUUGGAAUUGAAGUGGUUUAGGGUUUCAUCAUAAGUUAUUAUUUAAAGGAGUCGACAGCUAACAUCAUGGUCACUAGAAAAUUUAUGGUAUAUGAGAGCCUAAUUAAGGGGACUAGUUGUGCACGAGGAAGACAUGUUACCCCCAGUGCAUCAUACCUAAGGUAAGUUGUAUUAUUUUUUUUUCUAGGUUAUGUUUCUAUUAGUUGGUUUUAUCUAAGGUUUAAAGCAAUUCUUCUUUCGUGAGAAAAUCUCUACCUUAUUGGGUUAAAUCUUAAUCAUUCUAAGAUCCAAAUUUAACAUCACAUUUAUUUUUUAUUUUGUAUCUUUAACACUUGAAGGUAUACUUCAAAAAUAUAGUUUUAUACCCUAAAUAUUAAAGUAUACAACGAAAUCCUAACACUCUGGAUACGAAUUAAACAAAUUAAUUGUUGUGAGAUUUUUGGUAUUUUAUUCUAAUACUAAAAAAAAUUCAUAAACUAGUUACGAUAUAUAUUUUGUAUUUUUAAAACAUAAUAAAAAUGUUAUUUUAUCUUUUAGAAAAUAUGCAUGAAAAAAAAGCCUUUAGGAGUUGGCCAUAUGCUUGAAAACAAUAUAUAUAUAUAUAUAUAUAUAUAUUUUUUAAUUUUUUUUAAAUUUCAAUUAAACUGAGUAUUUUUAAUAUGGAGUUUGUAUUUGCUUAAUGUUUUCCUCCUUACUAUAUGUGUUGAAUUUAUAUUUAUGCUUAAACAACAUACAUAACAAAUGCAAUUAAAAAGAAAUAAAGCAGUUAAACUGGUUAGAUCUUAGGUUUGCUCUCUAGAGGUCACCAAUUCGAGUCCUACAAAUCUCAGGAUCACUGGAGAUUUAUUUGGUAGUUAACUUCAGGGUCCAUGGAAUCGAGAUGCGCACAAACUGAUCCGGACAUCCACGUUAAUAAUAAUAAUACCGAGUAAUAUAUUCAACUUUCAAAUUAUAAAAAGACCAAGUUGACUAUAAUGUCCCCCUCCAGAAUAUAAGUUGAUGCAGAAGAGAAUAUCUAUCAUAAAAGAAAUUAGAUAAUACUUUCUGUUUAAAAAUAUAUUAAAAUAAUUUUUUUUAAAGAUGUUUUUUUAUAUUAAUAUAUUAAAAUAAUUUUAAAAUAUAUAAUUAAUUUUAAAAAAAUUAAUUUUUUUAAACCACAACGGUUAAAAGAAAGGAAAGAAAGAACGUGUGGGCUAUUGAUGACCUUGACCAAGACUUGAUGCUCUUAAUAAUUUCCAUUGACCAAGACUUGCACUUCACGUGGAAGCUGAGGCAUCUUUCUUUUUAAACACUCUAUCAGUAAACGUCCAAAGAGAUUUAAUAUUUAUAUAUAGAGCAAUUGUGAAGUGAAUGGAUAUUCAAAGUUAAAUUACCCGCCAAAUUCUCAUUGCUCUCAAUUAUUACUUCCAUACCCACUUCGAUAUUAUUAUUAAUUUUUAUUUUUUUGUGUGAUCAUGCUGCUGAUAAAGCACGACAAGUCGUUUCACAAUCUUUAUGUGCUUAUUGUGCUUCUGUUGCUCAUGAAACUUGCUCCUGGGUUCAUUUCUGGAGUGAAAGGGGCAACUUUCGGGUGCAUAGAGAGGGAGAGACAAGCCCUUCUCAAGUUUAAAGAAGACCUUAUUGAUGACUUUGGUCUUCUUUCAACUUGGGGAAGUGAAGAAGAGAAGAGGGAUUGCUGCAAAUGGAGAGGAGUUGGAUGUAGCAAUCGAACCGGUCAUGUUACUCAUCUCGAUCUUCACCGGGAGAAUUACAACGGAUAUUACUACCAAUUAAGUGGUAAUAUCAGCAAUUCACUACUUGAGUUGCAGCAUUUGAGUUACCUGAAUCUAAAUGGAAGCCGUUUUGGAGGGAGUUCUUUUCCAUAUUUCAUUGGGUCCCUAAAAAAAUUAAGAUACCUGGAUCUUUCUUCUAUUCAUGUUGAUGGAACUCUUUCAAAUCAGUUUUGGAACCUUUCAAGAUUACAAUAUCUAGAUCUCAGUUAUAUUCAGGGUGUUAAUUUUACAAGUCUUGACUUCCUUUCCAACUUUUUUUCUCUUCAACAUCUUGACCUGAGAGGCAAUGAUCUUAGUGAGACGAUUGACUGGCUGCAAGUGCUUAACAGGCUCCCUCGCUUACAUGAAUUGUUGUUAAGUUCUUGUAGCCUUUCAAUUAUCGGUUCUCCAUCUCUUUCUCUUGUAAACUCCUCUGAAUCUCUUGCUAUCGUUGAUUUCUCUUUCAACGAUCUUUCCUCUUCAAUAUUCCAUUGGUUGGCCAACUUCGGUAACAGCCUUAUUGAUCUUGACCUCUCACAUAACAAUUUACAAGGUUCAAUUCCAGAUGUUUUCACGAACAUGACCUCUCUUAGGACCCUUGAUCUAUCCUCUAACCAAUUACAAGGCGAUUUGAGUUCAUUUGGGCAGAUGUGCAGUUUAAAUAAGCUGUGUAUAAGCGAAAACAAUCUCAUUGGAGAGCUGUCUCAGUUGUUUGGAUGCGUGGAGAACUCAUUAGAGAUUCUACAACUAGACAGAAAUCAGCUUUAUGGUUCAUUGCCUGACAUCACAAGAUUCACUUCCAUGAGAGAGCUGAAUCUCUCUGGGAAUCAACUGAAUGGAUCUUUACCAGAACGAUUUAGUCAACGUUCUGAACUUGUUUUGUUGUACUUGAAUGACAACCAACUCACUGGAUCACUUACGGAUGUUGCGAUGCUUUCAUCAUUGAGAGAGUUGGGGAUCAGUAACAAUCGAUUAGAUGGGAAUGUUUCUGAAAGUAUUGGAAGCCUAUUUCAGCUCGAGAAAUUGCAUGUUGGAGGGAAUUCCCUACAAGGUGUGAUGUCUGAAGCUCACUUUUCAAAUCUCUCCAAAUUAACGGUAUUGGAUUUAACCGAUAACUCCCUAGCUUUGAAAUUUGAGUCUAACUGGGCUCCCACUUUUCAGUUGGAUCGCAUAUUUCUUUCGUCUUGUGAUUUGGGUCCUCCUUUCCCUCAAUGGCUUCGAAAUCAAACUAAUUUCAUGGAGCUAGAUAUCUCUGGUUCUAGAAUUUCAGAUACAAUCCCUAAUUGGUUUUGGAACUUGUCCAAUUCCAAGUUGGAAUUGUUAGACCUUUCUCACAACAAGAUGAGUGGAUUAUUGCCAGAUUUCUCAUCAAAAUAUGCCAAUCUCCGCAGCAUAGAUUUGAGUUUCAACCAGUUUGAGGGUCCAUUACCGCAUUUUUCAUCAGAUACCACAUCAACCUUGUUUCUCUCUAACAAUAAGUUUUCAGCUUCUUUUCGAUGUGAUAUUGGAAGUGAUAUCUUGAGGGUCCUUGACCUCUCAAAUAACCUGUUGACUGGAUCGAUUCCUGAUUGUUUAAGAGGUCUAGUUGUUCUGAAUUUGGCCAGCAACAACUUUUCAGGUAAAAUUCCCAGCUCCAUUGGAUCAAUGCUCGAACUUCAGACAUUGAGUUUGCAUAAUAAUAGCUUUGUUGGAGAAUUACCUUUGUCUUUGAGGAGUUGUAGUUCUCUAGUAUUUUUAGACCUGAGCUCAAAUAAGUUGCGAGGAGAAAUACCAGGUUGGAUAGGAGAAAGCAUGCCAUCUCUGAAAGUCCUUUCCCUACAAUCUAAUGGAUUCAGUGGAAGCAUACCGCCAAAUCUUUGUCACCUAUCAAAUAUUCUGAUCUUGGACCUAUCUCUAAACAAUAUCUCAGGAAUCAUUCCAAAGUGCCUUAAUAACCUCACUUCCAUGGUUCAAAAAACAGAGUCAGAAUCGAAUAAUGCUGUUCCUAGUAGGUCUUACGUUUUGGAGAGCCGUUACCCGCCUAACACUAACGGGCGCUCUUACAGGUCUUACAAUCUCAGUGAAAUUGGCCCUGUAAUUGUCUAUGUUGAAUAUAUGAAUGAGAUCAGGGUUGGAUGGAAAGGAAGAGCGGAUGUUUAUCGAAGCACACUAGGACUUUUGAGGAUCCUUGAUUUUUCAGGAAAUAAAUUACAAGGUGAAAUUCCAGAAGAAAUAACAGGACUCUUACUGUUGGUUGCACUGAAUUUAUCCGGAAAUAAUUUGACUGGAGAAAUCCCUCAAAAGAUUGGGCAGUUGAAACAGUUGGAAUCACUUGAUUUGUCAGGAAACCAAUUAUCAGGAGUGAUUCCUAUCACAAUGGCUGAUCUAACUUUUCUAUCUUACCUGAACCUCUCCAACAAUCACUUGUCGGGGAGGAUUCCGUCAAGCACUCAGCUGCAAGGCUUUAAUGCUUCACAAUUUACCGGUAACCAUGCAUUGUGCGGGCAGCCACUCUUACAGAAAUGCCCUGGAGAUGAGACGAAUCAAAGUCCACCUGCUAAUGAUGACAACCGAGGCAAAGAAGUCGUUGCUGAUGAAUUCAUGAAAUGGUUUUGUAUUUCUAUGGGAAUUGGUUUUAGUGUAUUCUUUUGGGGAGUUUCAGGUGCUUUACUGCUAAAACGUUCCUGGAGACAUGCCUAUUUCCGGUUCUUGGAUGAAUCAUGGGACUGGCUCUAUGUGAAGGUAGCAGUGCGCAAGGCACGAAUUCAACGAGAAUUUCAGAGGCUGCAAGAGCACGUUCUUGCUUAGAAGGAUUGCAAGGUAAUAUGGUUAUUCACAUAUCUUUUCUUUUCUUUUUAUAUUGAAGACUAAUGGUUCAUUUUAUACCAGGAGGUGCAGCUGGGUGCAUAACAGGUCCUCUUUGUCCAAGGAGUUCGUAGUGUUUGCUGGAGCUACAUCGUCCUUUACCUUGGCAACUUCAUCGUGGUCUACUACUGCAAGUUUGAAAUAAGGUUCCAUUGGAGAACUCUUUGUACAGCUGCUGGGUUUUAUGUGAAACUAUGGAAGUGAUCAUGUAAUAUAUUAUGGAAUCUCAAAGUUGGUUUUUAUAUGAAUUUGAUUUGGAAUGUUUUUGCAAAUAUUUAGUUCUUUACUUACCAGUGUGAAGAUGGAACAUAUUCAUUCUCCAAAUCAAAAAAUUAUGCCAGUACUUGCUUAUUUUGCUACAGAAUUUAAUUAAAAACACAUGUAAUUUACAUUUUUAUUUAUCUGCUUUUGUUGAAUUAUUGGCAUUAUAUCAAGCAAUUAGCAGGUAUUGAAAUUGAUGUUAAUUCAAGCCUAUACAUUUCAGAGAAAUUUCUUCGAAGAUUAGUUCAAAAGGUAUAAAUGUGUCAAUGGUGAUUGUUGAAAAGUAUGCCCAGUCAUAUAAGAAAGGAAGAAGGAGAAAAAAUGGGGUUGCGAUGCAGCCAUUGACGAGUUCCCUUUAAAAGAAUUUUUAGAGGGAUAAGUGAAUUCCUGUACAUUGAGAAGAACAAUGAUGCAUUCACAUAUUGCUUUCUUCUUUGUUUUAGUCAUUUAAAUAUUUUUUAGUAACUUAAUUUGUUUUUCAUUUUGAUCUUUCCAUACCGAGUUUUUUUUGGAUUGAAUUUAAUAAUUUAUUUUGUUAACUUAAUUUAUAUGAAUUUAUGAUAAUGUAAAAAAAAAAUAUUUUUAAAAGUAAGUUGAUUAAAAUUGACUCUAAAACAAAAAUUCAGCCUCCUCUUUUUUUUUCCCCCGCAUUAUAGCUAACGCGUGUUUUGAAGAAUUUUGGGCCCUCAAGUUCUAAUUUUUGCAAGUUCAUCCAUUUUUUCUAAGGCUUUUACAUUUUACUUUAAAAAAUUAUUUUUUGUUCACAUAUUAGUUUUCAAGUUGUUGAAAAAAAAAAAAAAAAAAUUUUUGUUAGCCAGCCAUUUUUUGGUGAUCAAAAACAUUGUUUUUGAUGUUAAUGGUUUUGUUUCACAAAAGAAGUUUAAUUGAAGUAUUUUUUACUUAUCUUGCAAUAAAGAAUAGAUAGGGUCUCCAGAUUUUUUUUUAAAUAUUGAUAAAUUUUUAUUUUUUGACCUAUCAAACAUUUUAAACAUAAUUUUAUUAAGGUUUAUCGGGAAUUUUUUAAAUGUUUUGAGAGAAUAAGUAAGCCACUCAUUAUCUAUCCAUUUAAAAAAAUAAAAAGUGCCCACAGUUAUGCUGGCUUGAUUUUUAAUGGGCCAGUUGGGUCAGUCCCCUAUUUAUUACAAAUUCUAACCCUACUUAUGAAACAAUUGAUAAAGUUUUAAUGAUUGUUAUACUUUGUAAAAAAGUAUGCAAUAUAUAUCUUAAUUUGAUUUAAAGCUUAUAGCAUGACUUUUAAUUUAAUUUAUAUUAACAACAAAUAUAUAUAUUGUUACAAUUCAUAAAUUUAUUUCUCCUAAGAAUAAAUUCAAAACUUAUAUAUAUGUGUGUGUGUGUGUGAGAUUACACGUGUCUUUGCACACACACAUACAUGGUAACUAUAAAAACUUCCCUCGUGACUUGGUUUUGUUUUUAAUAUAGAUAAUUAGAAACGAAUAGGCAUAGUGGGGACUCGACUAAUUAUUUAAGAAUAUAUUAAAUUAUUAUUUUAUUUUAUUAUUUUAAGAGUAACUACCAAUAAUAUAUACAAAAUAAAAGGUUAUUUUUACUAUGUAAUUUCUUUUAAAUUUAUCUUUAUAGUUAUCAUUAAAUUAUUAUUUUAUUUUAUUAUUUUAAGAGUAACUACCAAUAAUUUAUACAAAAUAAAAGGUUACUUUUAUUAUGUGCUUUCUUCUAAAUUUAUCUUUGUGAUUGUCAUUAAUUAUUCUAAUUUUUUAAACUUUUUUAUUUUUAAUUUUAAUUUCUAAUUAUUUUGUGAAAAAAUUGAUUUUAGUCUUUAGAUACAUCAAAAAAUUACACCAGUCCCUAAAAUAGAAGACUUGUCAAAGAUAUUAACGUUAAGUGCUACAAAAAAUUUAAUUGAAAUUGCUAAAACUAAACAUAACCCGUAUUUGAUUUCAAAAUCUGGAUAUCAAUUUUUUUAAAAAAAAAACAUAUAAAAAAUGAUUCUUAUUCCUAAAAAAUCUAGAUAUCAAUAUGUGUUGAACUGUUAUAGAUGAUCAGAAUUGUGAUUUGGACUGCAGGAGAUUUCAUUUUUUCUUGCUACAAACAUGUAGUUGUACAUACUCUCUGUCUUGAAACUUGAUAAUGUUUUGAAGAGAUCCGGAAACAUCCAUAUCCCUGAAAAUAACAAGGGAGAUCUUCUUGACAUCGAUAUGGCUAUCACUUGUGCUGCCAUUAACAGUUAUUUGGAUCAAUCUAAGAUUGAUUGUGGAAACAUUAUAGCCAUCUUCUUAGAUGGAAGUGCUGAUCUUCUUAGAUGUCAAUUUAAGAAAUAGAUUCAGCCUUCCAGUGAGGAAGACUUGCACUUCACAUGGAAGUGCUGAUCUUCUUAGAUGUCAAUGGAAAUGACUAGAAAGUUGAAGCAUCUUCUUAAAAACACUGAUGACUUGAAAAAUCUUUGUCUAAAAGUAAGGGAUCCGCACUAUCAGUAAAUGGUUUUUUCCUAUGAGGUUCACUUGGAGAGCACACUGGUUAGGUGAUCCGCGCUGCACCGCGAGUUAAUCUUUGUUUUGUUAUAAAAAAUGUAAAAAAUAAAUAAAUAUUUUUUAAAACAUAAAAAAAAUAUAAUAUUCAAGUAAUUGACUCGAAUGAAUUUAAUAAACUCUGUUAAUUUAAUAAUAUCAUUAGAAAAUAAGAUAUCGACAACAAAACAAAGCAAAAAAAAAAAAACAACAAUAAUUCAAUGCAAAAGAUGCAUACUUGCCAAUAUUGUGAAAAUAAAUAUUCACAAUAUUCCAAAAGCAUCUCAAUAAUCUUAUUUGUUAACAAAAUAAAAAUUAAAUGAAAAUAGAAUAAUUUCAUAGAAAGAAAACAAAUGUAAAUAUAAAAAAAUAAGAAAAAAAAAGUCAAUUACUGUUUACUUUUUAAAACAUGACCCGAGUUAUAAGACUGAAAACAUUAAAUGUGAAAAAAUCAUAAGGGUUGAAAUCACACACACAAAAAAAAACAACGAAAACAAAUCCAACAUAAAAAAAUCCAACAAAAAAAAAUACAAUAAAAAUAAUGAAUGUUAAAAUUUCAAUAAAAAAAAUAAAUAAAAAGGCAACAACUUUUAAAUUUGAGAGUUAAAUUGUAAAAAAUCAAAAAAUUAAUAAAAUGACAAAAAUUAAAAGAAUAAAGAUAAAAAAAAGCAAUGCACUAUAAACUUGGAUUGAACGGUGAAACUAAAAACAAAUAAACUUUCAUAAAAGAUUUAAGAAAAAAAAUAAAAAAAAAUCAUAAGUAUAAACAUCAAAAUAUAAUUAAAAAAAUUAAUAUAUAGAAUUCUUCAACGUUUUUUUUUACACACAAAAAAACUCCUAGAUGUAAAUCAAAAAACUUAUGCAUGCAUCUAAUUAAACAACACAAUAACUAUUGUGUAAACUAUAAAGCAAUGAAAAAAAACCAUCAACAAUUCAAAAAAAAAUUGAGAAAAUUAAGCAAAAAAUAAAGAUUAAGAUAUCUAACAUUGCAAUAUAUAGAUAAUUUACCUGAUUACAUUUAAUGAAUUUCUUAAUCAAAAUAAAAUUAUAAUAAAAAACACAUAAAAUUUAUAAUAAAAACUGACAGAAACAUCAAAUUUAUUAAACAAUAACUAGCCAUGGAUUUAAUUUUGGUAGCAACGUUAUGCUCCAAUAUCUUUAUCGAAACAAGGUUAGGGUUGGAUGGAAAGGAAGAGAGUAUGAAUAUGAAGUACUCUAGGACUUUUUAGGAUCGUUAAUUAUUUUGCAGGAAACAAAUUAAUAGGGGAGAUUCCAGAAGAAAUAAUUAACAGCACUCUUACAGUUGAUUGCACUGAACUUAUCAGGAAAUAAUUUGACUGGAGCAAUCCCUCAAAAUAUUGGGCGGUUGAAACAGUUACAAUCACUUGAUUUAUCUGGAAACCAAUUAUCAGGAGUAAUUAAUUCCAAUGAAAAUGGAUUAUCUGUAUUUUCUGAAUUCCUUGAACCUCUCUAACAAUCACUUGUUUGGGGGGGGGGGGCAUUCCAUCAAGCUCUCAGCUGCAGAGCUUUGAUGCUUCAGUAUUUUCUGGUAAUGGCUGCCACUCAAACAAAAAUGCCUCGGAGAUGAGACGAAUCAAGGUCCACCUGGAGGCAUGCCUGUUUCCGGUUCUUGGAUGAAUCAUGGGAUUGGCUUUAUGUGAAGGUAGCAGUGUGCAGGCACGGCUUCGAAGAAAAUCUCAGAGCUUGUAUCAGCACGUUCGUUCUUAGAAGGAUUGCAAGGUAAUAUAUUUUCUUUUUCUGUUUCUUUUUAGCACCACAAUCCAUGAGACUAAACCUUUUAUAUUGUAUAUAUUAAUGGUACGUUUUCAUGCAUUCUGGGUUUUCCCUUUUCAUUUUAUAGCAAGAGCUUCAGCUUGGUGCAUAAUAGGUCCUCUUUUGUCUAAGGAGUUCGUAUUGUUAGUGUACGUGUUUGCUGGUGCUACAUCAUUCUUUACCUUGGUGUCUUCGUCGUUGUCUACUACUACAGGUUUGAAGUAAGGUUCCAUUGGAGAACUCUCUGUACACCUGCGGGCUUUUAUAUGAAACUAUGAAAAUGAUUAUGUAAUAAAUUAUGGAAUCUCAAAGUUGGUUAUUGUGAUCGAAUUUCUUUGGUUAGGAAUGUAUAAUUUUGUUGCUUAACUUCGUGAAAAUGUUGUCGUCACGUAUGUAGUUCUUUGCUUAACAGUGUGAAGAUGGAACAUUUUCAUUCUCCAAAUUAAAAAUAUAUAUAUAUGUAAUGCCACAUGCUUAUCUUGCUAUCUCAGUAAUAAAUUCGCAGUAAAGCAAACCUCCUGAGAUUUGCAUUUUGUUCUUUUUGUUCACAGCCGGAGCUGCCUAUUGAUGGUGCGAGAUAGAAACUGAAACAGCAAAAACACCUCACCCACACCAUGCAUCAUUUUAUUCCAUUCACUUCACUAUUCUGCACAUUUUCUCUCCAAAGCAAAGCUGAAUUUGCUCAGAGGGGAGAGAGAAGAAAAGGAGAGAGAGAGAAAGAGUAACUGAGGACAAACUGCAGCUCUGUUUCCGACAUACCAAUUACCAUUGAAAAGAUAUAAACAAGAUGAACUUGAUGAGACCGUAGAAGACCAUCAAAAGUGCUCAAAAAAGGAAAUUUCAUCAAAAUUGUUAAGAAUAGACAUAACCCGUAUUUGAUUUUAAAAUCUAGAUAUCAGUUUCUUUUUUAAAAAAAAGACGUACAAAAAAUAACUCUUAUCCCUAAAAAAGAAGAUUUUAUCGAGGCUGUUAAAAGAAUGGGGUGUUAGACCCAUAUGGCCGAUAAGAAUUGGGUUUGGACUGCAGGAGAUUUCAUUUCUUCUUGCUACAAACGUGUAGGUGUACAUACUCUCUGUCUUGAAACUUAUAAUGUUUUGAAAAGAUCCGGUAACAUUUAUACCCCCUGAAAAUGGAAAUGACUAGGAAGCUGAGGCAUCUUCGUAGACAUAAUGAUCUUGAAAUUAAAAGGUGGGUAGUAGUUUUGAUAUUAACAUAUUAAAAUAAUUUGAAAAUAAAAAAAAUAAAAAAAAUUAAUUUGAAAUAAAAAAAAAAUUUAAAUUUUUUUACAAUAAUUUUUUUUUAGGGAAACAAUAGAUAGUUUUUGCUUAUAAAUAUAGGUUAUAGACCAUAUAAUAAGAUAAAUAAAACAUCUGAACCAUUGAAAUUAUGUUUUUCACGUGUCAUAUCUUAACCCGUUGUCUUAAACAAAUAAUAAUAAUAAUAAUAAUAAAGAAUUUCUAUUUAUCCCAAAAGCUCAUCCCAAUUUUUCAUUUUCCUUUAGCCUCUCUCAUCUCAUUCUUGCAAUUGUACCUUUCAAUGUCCAUCAAGGUUAUGUUUGUUUUUUAAAAAGUAAUUUUUGAAAAAUUACUUUUUAAAUUUUCUUAUAUUUAUUUACUAUUAGAAAAGUUGGUUAACGAAAAAUACUUUCCAGUCAAAGAAAAAUUUAGCUUGGAUUUCAAGAAAGUAUUUUCCUGGAAAAUUUGGGCAGAAAAUAUUUUCCAGAAGUUGUGAAAAAUUUAGAUAUGUCAUAUUAUUUGCUGAUUAUAUCAAAUUUGAUCUUCAAAUUUUUGAUUGCUAUAUAUAUUUUGUUUUGAAUAUUUAUUUUUCAAUUUCAUCUCUUAAAAUUUAAUUUUUAUAUUAACUUUGGUCCUCAUUUUUAUAAUUGUUAUUUGUUUUUCCCUUAUCAUUUUUUUAUUGAAAUUUUUUAUCUAUCAAAUUUGAUCCUCAUUCUUUUGAUUGUUACUUAUUUUAUUUGAAAUAAUUUAUGAAAUGUUAAUUAUUAUUAUUUUAAUUUCUUCAUCUUUUAUUUUUUUAUUUUUUAGAUUUGAUCUCUAUUAUUUUGAUUAUUAUUUAUUUUAUUUGAGAUAAUUUAUGAAAUUAUUUUUUUUUCAAUUUCAUUCUCAUUCAAUUUUUUAAUUUGUAAGAUUUGUUCCUCAUUAUUUUAAUAAACUUGAGAAAAGUAAAACAUUAAUAAGUUAUUUUCUAGCUCAUUUUCCAUGACAUAACCAAAUACUGGAAAGUGUUUUCCAACUUAUUUUUCAUUACACUAUCAAACAUCAGAAAAUAAUUCACUUUCCUGAAAUUUACUUAAAAAAAAAAACUUUCCAACAAAUAAACAGGUACAAAUCUCAAUUCAUUGAUUUCCUUCACCAAUCUCUUAUGAAGCCAACAUGCUCGACGAAGAACACCAUCACUUUGUCCAGAUGUUUUUUUUUCUCCUAAAAUUACUAAUAUGCUAAAGGAGACUUGUAGAGCACGGUAGCAUCUUCUACUUUUCAUCAACACUCAAAUCAAUAUCCAUGACCAUUUUUUCAUUCUAGCUCCCUCAAGUUUUUAAUCCUUUCUGCUUUGGUCAAUAAAUCUUUUUUUUCCUGCUAUGAUGUUUAAAUUAUACCGCUACUUGUAAUAUAUGAGAGAUAUACGCAAAUAAUAAAGACAGAAGAGUGAGAAUUAAAAAGAAAUUAAGUGAAAACUUUCUUACUGAUUCUCUCUCUUUUCUUUGUGUUUAUGAAGUAUUAUUAAUUAUAAAAUUAUAAAAUAUAUAUAUCCAUCUAAUCUUAUACAUCAACCUUGACUGAAUUUUAUGAACAUAUCCCGUGGAGAUAUUGCACACCAAACUGUUGGGGGAGAGACCACUGAUAAUUUUAAUUUUUUAAAAAAAUAUUUUUAAAACUCAAAUAAAUAUAUUGAAAUAAAUUUUUUUUAUGGAACAGCAUAAUAAGAUAAAUAAGGUAUCUAAACUAUUGAAAUAAAUUUUUCCAAGUGAUAUCUUCUUAAACACUAAUGACUUGAAAAGUCUUUGCUAAAAAAUAAUGGGCACCCACUAUAGUAAAUGUCCAAAGAAAUUUAGAGAAAUAGUAAAUGGUUUUUGCCUACAAGGUUAGUAGACGUGUAUAUUUUCCCAUGCUCUAUCAGAGCGUUGGAUCAAAUUAUUUAUAAUUUAUAAACUAAAUAAUUUAUAAACUAAUUAAAUAGAAAAAAUUAAAAUAUAUUUUUAAAUUAAAUAGAAAAAAUAGUAAAUGGUUUUUGCCUACAAGGUUAGUAGACCAUAAGUUGAUGCGGGAGAGAAUGUCUAUCAAAUAAAGGAAUGGAAAAACGUGUGGGCUAUUGAUGACUUUGACGAAGACUUGAAGCUCUUAAUAAUUUCCUUUCAGAAGAUAUUUUUUUAAAAACAUACUGAUGACUUGGAAGUCUUUUCCCAGAAGCAAGAGGCACGCAGAAGUAACACAAAAACAAAUAUAUCAAAAUAAAAAAGAAAUUUAGAAAAAACAGUAAAUAGUUUUUGUGUACGAGGUUAAGGCUAUAGAACACAUAGUUAAAUAAAUAAGGCUAUAGAAAAAAAAUUAAUUAAAAGUAAGGAAAUUUUUUAAAAAUACUUUUAAAACACAAAAAUAAAUAUAUUCAAAUAAAAUAAAUUAAAAAAAUAGUAAAUGGUUUUUGGUUUUUUCCACACGACAUCUUCUUUAAACACAUUGAAUAAUUUGAAAGUCUUUGCCCAAAAAUAUGAGGCACACACAGGAUGUUUAAUAGCGUAGUAGAGAUUAUUUGUUAAAAUAUUUUUUUAUUUAGAAAUGUAUUAAAAUAAUAUUUUUUUAAUUUUUAAAAAAUUUAUUUUUGAUAUUGUUACAUUGAAAUGAGCUAAAAGCACAAAAAAAAAAUUAAUUUAAAGCAAAGAAAAAAAAUUUAAUUUUUUUUUAAAAUAUUUUUUAAACACAAAAAUAAAUAUAUUAAAAUAAAAAAAAUAGAGAAACAAUAUAUAUUUUUUGGUUUUUUCCACGUGACAUCUUCUUUAAACACAUUGAAUAAUUCGAAAGUCUUUGCCCAAAAAUAUGGGGCACGCACGGGAUGUUUAAUAGUAUAGUAGAGAUUAUUUGUUAAAAUAUUUUUUUUAUUUAGAAAUGUAUUAAAAUAAUAUUUUUUUAAUUUUAAAAAAUUUAUUUUUGAUAUUGUUACAUUAAAAUGAUCUAAAAGCACAAAGAAAAAAUUAAUUUGAAGUAAAGAAAAAAAAUUUAAUUUUUUUUUAAAAUAUUUUUAAAAUACAAAAACAAAUAUAUUAAAAUAAAAUUAAUUAGAAAAACAGUAUGUACUUUUUUUGUUUUUUCCACGUGACAUCUCUUUAAACACACUAGACUUCAAAAGUCUAUGUACAAAAGAAUGGGGCACACAUAAUUCUAGGAUGUUUAACAGUGUAGUGAAAAUUAUUUUUUAAAAUAUUUUUUUGUUUAAAAAUGUAUUAAAAUAAUAUUUUUUUAUGUUUUAAAAUUUAUUUUUGAUAUUAGUAUAUUAAAAUGAUCUAAAAACACAAAAAAAAAAUUUAAAGCAAAGAAAAAAAAUUUAAUUUCUCUAAAUAUACUUUUAAAAGACAAAAACAAAUAUAUCCAAAUAAAAAAAAUAAAAAAAAAAUUAGAGAAACAUUAAAUUGUUUUUGGUUUUUCCAACGUGACAUCUUCUUAAACACACCGAAGACUUCAAAAGUCUUUGCCAAAAAGUAUUGAGCACAAAGUUUGACAGUGUAGUUGAGUUUUUUGUAAUGUUUUUAUUUAAAAAUAUAUUAAAAUAAUAUUUUUUUAUUUUUAAAAAUUAAUUUUAACAUUAACAUAUUAAAAUAAUUUGAAAGCAAAAAAAAUUAAUUUAAAAUAAAAAAAUAUUUUUUAAAAAAUACUUUUGAAACUCAAAAAUAAAUAUAUCCAAAUAAUGUUUUUUUAUGGAAACAACAUAUUAAAUUAAAUAAGGCAUCUGGACUAUUAAAAUUAAUUUUUCCACGUGAUAUUAGUUGGAAUUUUUUUUUUAUCGUUAUCUCUCUUUCCUUUGUGUUUAUGAAGUAUUAUUAAUUACACUUUAAGUAUUAUAAAAUAAUAAAAAAUAAAAGAAAUUAUAUCCAUCGACCUUGACUUAUAUAUCCAAUAUAAUGACUUAAUUUCAAAUUUUCUUAUUAUUAUCUUGAAGAAAAAGAAAAAAGAGAAGACAAGUCAACUUAAAAUUUAUUUAAAAAGGAUUACAAGAACCCAACAAAAAUGCUUUUUUUGCUUCAUUUUCAUAGCGAUAAUAAUGCCCAAAAACUAUGUUUUAAUUAUUGUGCUUGUAUUGUUGCACAUCCCUUUUCCUGGAUUCAUUACAGGGGCAACAGGGGGGGAAAUUGGGUGCAUUGAGCGGGAGAGACAAGCACUUCUUAAGUUUAAAGAAGAUAUUAUUGAUGAAGAUGGUGUUCUUUCUUCUUGGGGGGGUGAAGAAGAGAAAAGAGAUUGCUGCAAGUGGAGAGGAGUUGGCUGUGACAACAUAACUGGUCAUGUUACUUCACUUAAUCUUCAUUCCUCACCUUUGUAUGAGCAUCAUUUUACGCCUCUAACAGGCAAGGUUAGUAAUUCAUUACUUGAGUUGCAGCAUUUGAAUUACUUGGACCUGAGUUUGAAUAAUCUUGAUGAGAGUAUCAUGGAUUUCAUUGGCUCCCUAAGCAGCCUAAGAUACCUGAACCUCUCCUACAACCUUUUCACUGUAACUAUCCCAUAUCACCUCAGGAACCUCUCAAGAUUGCAGUCUCUUGAUCUCAGCUAUAGUUUUGAUGCCAGUGUUGAAAAUCUUGGCUGGCUUUCUCAUCUUUCUUCUUUGGAGCAUCUUGAUUUGAGUGGUUCCGACCUCAGCAAGGUAAAUGACUGGCUGCAAGUGGUUACCAACCUCCCUCGCCUAAAAGACUUGCGAUUAAAUCAGUGUAGUCUUACGGAUAUAAUUCCUUCACCUCUUUCUUUCAUGAACUCUUCUAAAUUUCUUGCUGUACUCCAUCUCUCUAAUAACAAUCUUUCUUCUGCAAUAUACCCCUGGCUGUAUAACUUAAGUAACAGCCUUGCUGACCUUGACCUUUCUGGUAACCAGUUACAAGGUUUGGUUCCAGAUGGCUUCAGAAAGAUGAGUGCUCUUACAAAUCUUGUUCUAUCCCGUAAUCAGCUUGAAGGUGGCAUUCCAAGAUCUCUUGGGGAGAUGUGCAGCUUGCAUACGCUAGAUUUGUGCCACAACAAUCUCACCGGGGAGCUUUCUGAUCUCACUCGGAACUUAUAUGGACGCACAGAGAGCUCGCUGGAGAUUUUAAGAUUAUGCCAGAAUCAGCUCCGUGGUUCAUUGACUGAUAUUGCUAGAUUUUCUUCCUUGAGAGAAUUAGAUAUCUCGAAUAAUCAACUGAAUGGGUCUAUACCAGAAAGUAUUGGAUUCCUUUCCAAGCUUGACUAUUUCGAUGUUUCUUUUAAUUCUUUGCAAGGUUUGGUGUCUGGCGGACAUUUUUCUAAUCUCUCCAAAUUAAAGCACUUGGAUUUGUCUUAUAAUUCCUUAGUUUUGAGAUUCAAAUCCGAUUGGGACCCUGCUUUUCAAUUGAAAAACAUUCAUCUUAGUUCAUGCCACUUGGGGCCUUGUUUCCCAAAAUGGCUGCGAACUCAGAUAAAAGUCCGUUUGCUAGAUAUCUCCAGUGCUAGUAUUUCAGAUACCGUCCCUAAUUGGUUUUGGAACCUACUGCCUAAGUUGGCUUUCUUAAACAUAUCUCACAACUUGAUGAGGGGAACACUGCCAGAUUUUUCAUCAGUAGAUGCAGUUGAUGAUACAUUCCCUGGGUUUGAUUUGAGUUUUAAUCGGUUUGAGGGUCUACUGCCAGCUUUUCCUUUUAACACAGCCUCAUUGAUUCUUUCUAACAAUUUGUUUUCAGGGCCAAUUUCUCUUAUAUGCAAUAUUGUAGGCAAGGCUUUGAGCUUCCUUGAUCUGUCAAACAAUCUGUUAACCGGACAACUUCCAAAUUGUUUCAUGAAUUGGAGCACACUCGUUGUUCUGAAUUUGGCUAACAACAAUUUGUCAGGUGAAAUUCCAAGCUCUGUUGGAUCAUUGUUUUCCCUUCAAACAUUGAGUUUAAACAAAAAUAGCCUCUAUGGAGAAUUGCCUAUGUCUUUAAAAAACUGUAGCAUGUUGAAAUUCUUGGACCUUAGUAGAAACCAAUUAUCCGGAGAAAUACCAGCUUGGAUAGGAGAAAGCCUCUCAUCUUUGAUGUUCCUUUCCCUUAAAUCUAAUGAAUUCAUUGGAAGCAUCCCACUACAUCUUUGUCAGCUAACAAAUCUUAGGAUCUUGGACCUCUCCCAAAACACCAUCUCUGGAGCCAUACCAAAGUGUCUCAACAAUCUAACUACUAUGGUUCUGAAAGGAGAAGCAGAGACUAUCAUUGACAAUCUUUACUUGACUUCUAUGAGAUGUGGAGCAAUUUUUUCUGGACGCUACUAUAUCAAUAAGGCAUGGGUUGGAUGGAAAGGAAGAGAUUAUGAGUAUGAGAGAUACCUUGGACUGCUGCGUGUCAUUGAUUUUGCAGGCAACAAUUUAUCUGGAGAAAUUCCAGAGGAAAUAACUGGCCUGCUUGGGUUGGUUGCUCUGAAUUUGUCAAGAAAUAAUUUGACUGGAGUAAUCCCCCAAACAAUUGGGCUGUUGAAAUCGUUAGAAUCUCUUGAUUUGUCAGGAAAUCAGUUCUCUGGUGCAAUUCCAGUCACAAUGGGCGAUCUGAAUUUUCUGAGUUACUUGAAUGUCUCCUACAACAACUUGUCUGGGCAAAUCCCAUCAAGCACUCAGCUUCAGAGCUUUGAUGCUUCAGCUUUUAUUGGCAAUCCUGCUUUGUGUGGUCUACCAGUCACCAAUAAAUGCCUUGGAGGUGAUUUGCCUCGAAAUUUAGUGAUGAAUGGUGUGAUCCAAGACAAUCAAGAAACUGUUCAUGAGUUCAGUGCAUGGUUUUGUACUGCUAUGGGAAUUGGUUUUAGUGUAUUCUUUUGGGGAGUUUCAGGUGCUUUACUGCUCAUACGUUCCUGGAGACAUGCCUAUUUCCGGUUCUUGGAUGAAUCAUGGGACUGGCUCUAUGUGAAGGUAGCAGUGCGCAAGGCACGACUUCAACGAGAAUUUCAGAGGCUGCACGAGCACGUUCUUGCUUAGAAGGAUUGCAAGGUAACAUGGUUAUUCACACGUCUUUUCCUUUCUUUUUUUAAUGAAGACUAAUGGCCCGUUUUCGCGCUUUCCAUUUUAUACCAGGAGCUGCAGCUGGGUGCAUAACAGGUCCGCUUUGUCCAAGGAGUCCGUAUUUUUUGUGCACGUGUUUCUUGAGAUACAUCGUCGUGUUUGUACACCUGCUGGGUUUUAUGUGAAACUAUGAGAGUGAUUAUGUAAUAUAUUUUGGAAUCUCAAAGUUGGUUUUUAUAUGAAUUUCAUUUGGAAUGUUUUUGCAAAUAUUUAGUUCUUUACUUAACAGUGUGAAGAUGGAACACAUUCAUUCUCCAAAUAAAAAAAUUAUGCCAGUACGUACUUGCUUAUUUUGCUACAGAAUUUAAUUAAAAACACAUGUAAUUUACAUUUUUAUUUAUCUGCUUUUUUUGAAUUAUUGGCAUUAAAUCAAGCAAUUAGCAGGUAUUGAAAUUGAUGUUACUUCAAGCCUAUACAAGUAAUCACCGGAGGAAAUAAAAUUUCAGAGAAAUUUCUUCGAAGAUUAGUUCAAAAAUUAUAAAUGUGUCAAUGGUGAUUGUUGAAAAGUAUGCCCAGUCAUAUAAGAAAGGAGAAAAAAUUUCAAAGAAAUUCGCAUAUUGCUUUCUUCUUUGUUUUCGUCAUUUAAAUAUUUUUUUCAGUCAUUUAAAAGUAUGCCCAUAUCAAGUUUUUUUGGAUUUGAUUUAUUAAUUUAUUUUUGUUAACUUAAUUUGUAUGAGUUUCCGAUAAAAGGUAAUCCAUGUUUGAUUUUAAAAUUUGGAUAUCAGUUUAUCUCUAAGAAAGAAUGACUGAGGACAAACUGAAGCUCUGUUACUGUUGAAAAGAUAUAAAUGAGAUGAACUCAAUGAGACCUUAGAAGACCAUUAAAAGUGGCCAGAGUGACCACACGCCCACGCCCUGCUUAUAAAAGGAAAUUUCAUCAAAAUUGCUAAAAAUAGAGGUAAUCCAUUAAAAAGAAAUUAACGAAGGGGGACAAGAAAAAUCCAAGAAAUGAAAACAUUUUUUAAAACUAUUGAUGACUUUGACGAAGACUUGCAGCUCUUAUUAAUUUCCUUUCAGAAGACAUAUUUUUUUUAAAACAUACUGAUGACUUGGAAGUCUUUUCCCAGAAGCAAGGGGCACGCACAAGUAACACAAAAACAAAUAUAUCAAAAUAAAAAAGAAAUUUAGAAAAAACUGUAAAUAGUUUUUGUGUACGAGGUUAAGGCUAUAGAACACAUAGUUAAAUAAAUAAGGCAUCUAAACCAUUUAAAUUAUUUAUUUCUUAUGGCAUCUUCUUAAACACACAGAUGAUCUUUACCUAAAAAUAUGGGGCAUGCACAAUUCCUUCAGGACGUUUAAUAAUAUAGUAAAAAUUAUUUUUUAAAAUAUUUUUUAUUUAAAAAUAUAUUAAAAUAAUAUUUUUUUAUGUUUUAAAAAUUAUUAUUGAUAUUAGUAUAUUAAAAUGAUCUAAAAACACAAAUAAAAAAAAUAAAUUUAAAGCAAAGAAAAAAAAUUUAAUUUCUUUAAAAAUACUUUUAAAAGACAAAAAUAAAUAUAUCCAAAUAAAAAAAUUUAGAGAAACAUUAAAUUGUUUUUGGUUUUUUCCACGUGCCAUCUUCUUAAACACACCGAAUACUUGAAAAUCUUUGCCCAAAAGUAUCGAGCACGAAGCUUGACAGUGUAGCUGAGUUUCUUUUAAUUUUUUUAUUUAAAAAUAUAUUAAAAUAAUAUUUUUUAUUUUUAAAAAAUAAUUUUAACAUUAACCUAUUAAAAUAAUUUGAAAGCAAAAAAAUAUUAAUUUAAAAUUAAAAAAAUACUUUUUUAAAAAUACUUUUGAAACUCAAAAAUAAUUAUAUCCAAAUAAAUUAUUUUUUAUGGAAACAACAUAUUAAAUUAAAUAAGGCAUCUGAACUAUUAAAAUUAAUUUUUCCACGUGAUAUUAGUUGGAAUUUUGUUUUUAUUAUUAUCUCUCUUUCCUUUGUGUUUGUGGAAGUAUUAUUAGUUACACUUUAAGUAUUAUAAAAUAAUAAAAAAUAAAAGAAAUUAUAUCCAUCGACCUUGACUUAUACAAUAUAAUGAUUUAAUUUUAAAUUUUCUUAUAGUGUUUAUCCAACUGCAUCUACAAGGAAAAUAAAUGGAAGUUAUAGUAAAAUUAGAGAAUUGCCGGUAUAAAAAUGUUGAGGUGCCGUUCUGAAAGUUUAUCGGGCUCAUCUUUUCCACUGCCUCUGAAAUCAGGCAGAACAUCUAAGAAAUCCUUCCUCGAAUCACUUUGAAGCAAACUUUCUUAUUCUUCACCCUCUCCUUGACAAACUUUGAAGCAGUCUCCAUGGCCUUCCCAAGAUCUCUCUCCAAGUGCAGGUCUGCCCAGAAAAUAAUUUCCAUUCAGGAAGACUUUUUUUUAAACACACUGAUGACUUGGAAGUCUUUUCCCAGAAGUAAGGGGCACGCACAAAUAACUGUCGGAAGAAAUUUAGAGAAACAGUAAAUGGUUUUUGCGUAUACAUUGUAUCCGUAGAUUCUCUAUAUAUGAGGUUCAGGCUUCAGACCAUACUAAAUCAAAAAACUCAUACAAUGUCUUUGAGCAAUGUAUAUGUCUUUUUAAAAAAAUACUUUUACACCACAGAAACAGAUGGUUGAAAGAAAAGAAUGAGAAAACGUGUGGGUUAUUGAUGACUUUGAGCAAGACUGAAGCCCUAAAUAAUUUCCAUUGAUGAUCAAGGCAAGCACUUCACAUGGAAGUGCUGAUUUCUUAGAUGUCAACGGAAAUGACUACGAAGAUGAGAUAUCUUUUUAAAUACAUUGAUGACUUGAAAAGUCUUUAUUUACCACUGUUAUAAAUUUAUUUGAAUAAAUCUCACUUAAUUAGUACAGCCUCUAGCACCUUUUUUUUCCUCCUUUGAACAAGCCUUUUCCCUUGAUAUCUGGUAGAUCGGCGAAUACCAAUAUAUAUAUUCUGAAGUUUUUUUUUUAUUAUUCAAUAAUGCUCUUAAUUUUAAGGCAGGGCAAUUCUGGAUUCCAAAAGUUAGCUACAUAAAAACAUUCAUAAUCACCUGAAGCUUUGCCAGCAAAAUCGUAAAUUUCAAAAAAGAUUUCAGUUCAUGUAAUUGAAUAAGCCUGUCCUCAUAGCUAUAAAUAUAUUUCCUUGGUACCUUUAAUGGGAGGGAACAUGUGUAGUGGGUGCGUGGGGCAAUAAGAAUGGCCUGUACAUAUUCCGACAUUAUAUGACCUCUUCGGUUUGUAACUGGUCAAAUUCCGAAUUAUAUUGAUCGAAACUGCACUUACACGACAGAUAUUUGAUCAGAAGAUGACAAAAAAACAACAGAGUGCGAUCAUUUUGUAUGGUAUAGAAAAUCGCAUCACAGUUCUCUCUUUAAAAUAGCAACAGGAUAAGGGAUGCUAUUAUCAAUUCAUAUUUCUUUGAUAAAAAAAAAUAAAAAAAAUCCAUAAUUUCCCCCGCAAAAGAAAGGAACGGCGUUCACGAGCAGAGCACGCGCCUCCAUUGGCAUAGGCUUUUAUUAAAAAAAAAUACCAAAAGUGCAAUCAUAGCUAGUGAGGCAUCCUAUGAAGAAAUUGCGAGUGAUUACCCAAUUAAAAAACAGAUUAAUUAAAAAAACGAAUUGUUAAAAUAAAUGGAACAAAUCAAUUAGAAAAGAAAAAAACCAAAGGAUACAAAUAUUAAAACUUACUUCUUCUAACCCUAUUAAAACUGGUAUAAAAAUGUUGAAGUUAUAGUGUUUAUCCAACUUCAACAUUCAUCCAAAAAAGAUUAUAUAUGUAGGCUUUUUAAUGUAUUUUUAUAUAUAAAAAAGUUUUUAAAUGUAAAUCAAGAAACUCAUACAAUGUCUUUGAGCAAUGUAUAAUUAUACAGUGUCUUCUUAAAAAAAUACUUUUACAUGGUUGAAAGAAAGGAAUGAGAAAACGUGGGGGUUAUUGAUGACUUCGAGCAAGACUGAAGCCCUAAAUAAUUUCCAUUGAUGAUCAAGGCAAGCACUUCACAUGGAAGUGCUGAUUUCUUAGAUGUCAACGGAAAUGACUAGGAAGAUGAAACACAUUGAUGACUUGAAAAGUCUUUAUCUAAAAGUAUGGGGCAUGCACAAUUAGAGAAUGUUUAGGGGUGAGUAGAGGUUAUAUUUAAUUUUUUUUUAAUAUAUUAAAAUAAUAAUUUUUUAUUUUUUAAAAAAUAUUUUAACAUUAGUAUAUCAAAAUAAUUUGAAAACAUCAAGAAAAAAUCAAUUUAAAAUAAAAAAAAAAUUAUUUUUUUAAAAUAAUACUUUUAAAAUACAAAAACAAAUAUAUCCAAAUAAAUGUUUUUUAGGAAACAAUAAAUGGUUUUUGCGUAUGAGGUUAAGGCUAUAAACCACAUAAUAAGAUGAAUAAGGAAUUUGAAUCAUUGAAAUUAUUUUUUUCAUGUGGCAUCUUCUUAAACGCACUGAUGACUUGAAAAGUCUUUACCCAAAGUAUGGGGCACGCAUAAUUAGAGGAUGUUUAACUUUAGUAGAGAUUGAUUUUUAAAAUAUUUUUUAUUUAUAAAUAAAUUAAAAUAUUAUUUUUUUUAAAAAAAAUAUUUUUUAUAUUAGUAUAUCAAAAUGAUCUGAAAACAUCAAAAAAAAAUUAAUUUAAAAUAAAAAAAAUUAACUUUUUUAAAAAUUACUUUUGAAACAUAAAAAUAAAUAUAUCCCAAUAAAAGUUUUUUAGGAAACAAUAAAUGGUUUUUGCCAACGAGGUUAAGGCUAUAAACCACAUAAUAAGAUAAAUAGGGCAUGUGAACCAUUGAAAUUAUUUUUUCCACAUGGCAUCUUAUUAAACACACUAAUGACUUGAAAAGUCUUUGUCCAAAAGCAUGGGGGCAUGCAUGAUUAGAGGAUGUUUAGCAAUAUAAUAGAGAUUGUUUUUUGUUCAGAAAUGUAUUAAAAUAAUUUUUUUUAAUUUUAAAAAAUUAUUUUUGAUAUUAGUCCAUCAAAAUAAUCUGAAAGUACUAAAAAAAUUAAUUUAAAGCAAAGAAAAAAUAUUUAAAUUAUUUUUAAAACAGAAAAACAAAUAUAUCCUAAUAAAUAUUUUUAGGGUAACAAUAAAUGGUUUUUGCCUAUAAAGUUAAGGCUAAGACCAUAUAAUAAGAUAAAUAAGACAUCUGAACCAUUUAAAUUAUUUUUUUCAAGUGGCAUCUUCUUAAACAUAUUGAUGACUUGAAAAGUCUUUGCCUAAAAACAUGGGGUACGUAUAAUUAGAGGAUGUAACGGUAAUGUAGUAGAGGUUGUUUUUUAAAAUGUUUUUUGUUUAGAAAUGUAUUAAAAUAAUUUUUUAUUAUUUUUUUAAAAUUAUUUUUGAUAUUAGCACAUUAAAAUGAUAUGAAAGCACCAAAAAAAAUAAUUUAAAGCAAAUAAUUUUUUAAAAAAUACUUAGGGGCACAUAUUAUCAAUAAAUGUCUGAAGACAUUUAGAGAAGCAGUAUUUUUUUAAUUUUAUUUUUCUGCGAUGAUGUUUAAGUUAUAUCACUACUUGUAAUACAUGAGAGAUACCAUAAAAGAGUGAGAAAUAAAAAAAAUUUUGAAUUUUUUUUAAUUUUCUCUCUUUAUUAUUAGUUACAUUUUAAGUAUUAUAAAAUAAUAAAAACAAAAGAAAUUAUAUCCAUCAACCUUGACUUAUAUAAUUAAUGACUUAAUUUUAAAUUUUCUUAUAGUGUUUUUUAUAUUAUAUAUAGGGAAGUUGUGAAGUGAAUGGAUUCAAAGUUACAUUUCCCACCAAAUUCUCAUUGCUCUCAAUUAUUAUUUCCAUACCCACUUCGAUAUUAUCUUUUUUUUUUUUGUGAUCAUGCUGCUGAUAAAGCACGACAGGUCGUUUCAUCAUCUUUAUGUGCUUAUUGUGCUUCUGUUGCUCAUGAAACUUGCUCCUGGGUUCAUUUCUGGAGUGAAAGGGGCAACUUUCGGGUGCAUAGAGAGGGAGAGACAAGCCCUUCUCAAGUUUAAAGAAGACCUUAUUGAUGACUUUGGUCUUCUUUCAACUUGGGGAAGUGAAGAAGAGAAGAGGGAUUGCUGCAAAUGGAGAGGAGUUCGAUGCAACAAUCGAACUGGUCAUGUUACUCAUCUUGAUCUUCACCAGGAGAAU